UACAGAGGUCUCAAGCGUUGUUCGGAUUCAUUGGGCGUAAAGGGUGCGUAGGUGGCGCUGUAAGUCGGGUGUGAAAUUUCGGAGCUUAACUCCGAAACUGCAUUCGAUACUGCGGUGCUUGAGGACUGGAGAGGAGACUGGAAUUCAUGGUGUAGCAGUGAAAUGCGUAGAUAUCGAGAGGAACACCUGCGGCGAAGGCGGGGUUGCUGGGCUGAUACUGACGCUGAGGCGCGAAAGCCAGGGGGAGCG
This 249-nucleotide ribosomal RNA is filed under the name uncultured bacterium. Its description in RNAcentral is "partial 16S ribosomal RNA". It matches the Rfam family "Bacterial small subunit ribosomal RNA", at positions 524 to 770 of the family's 1533-position model. The record is from RNAcentral.